RNAcentral lists this ribosomal RNA (292 nucleotides) under uncultured bacterium. RNAcentral describes it as "partial 16S ribosomal RNA". It matches the Rfam family "Bacterial small subunit ribosomal RNA", at positions 505 to 796 of the family's 1533-position model. The record is from RNAcentral.
GUGACAGCCGCCGCGGUAAUACGGAGGGGGCAAGCGUUAUUCGGAAUUAUUGGGCGUAAAGGGCGCGUAGGCGGCUUGGUAAGUCAAAGGUGAAAUCCCUCGGCUCAACUGAGGAAUUGCCUUUGAAACUGCCUGGCUUGAGGCCGGGAGGGGGUAGCGGAAUUCCCAGUGUAGCGGUGAAAUGCGUAGAUACCGGGAGGAACACCAGUGGCGAAGGCGGCUACCUGGACCGGAACUGACGCUGAUGCGCGAAAGCGUGGGGAGCAAACAGGAUUAGAAACCCCGGUAGUCC